RNAcentral lists this transfer RNA (77 nucleotides) under bacterium. RNAcentral describes it as "tRNA-Met". It matches the Rfam family "tRNA". From Rfam's summary of the family: Transfer RNA (tRNA) molecules are approximately 80 nucleotides in length. The record is from RNAcentral.
CGCGGGGUGGAGCAACUUGGUAGCUCGUCGGGCUCAUAACCCGAAGGUUGUCGGUUCAAGUCCGGCCCCCGCUACCA